UAAUACGGGGGGUGCGAGCGUUGUCCGGAAUCACUGGGCGUAAAGGGCGCGUAGGUGGUUUGAUAAGGGUGUGGUGAAAGUCCGGGGCUCAACCCCGGAUCUGCCGUGCCGACUGUCAAACUCGAGGGCUGUAGAGGCAGACGGAAUUCCGGGUGUAGCGGUGGAAUGCGUAGAGAUCCGGAAGAACACCGGUGGCGAAGGCGGCCUGCUGGGCAGUAGCUGACACUGAGGCGCGACAGCGUGGGGAGCAAACAGGAUUAGAUACCCUGGUAGUCCACGCCGUAAACGAUGGGCACUAGGCGCUUGGGGGAGCGACCCCCCGAGGGCCGGCGCUAACGCAUUAAGUGCCCCGCCUGGGGAGUACGGCCGCAAGGCUG
RNAcentral lists this ribosomal RNA (377 nucleotides) under uncultured bacterium. RNAcentral's name for it is "bacterial SSU rRNA". It matches the Rfam family "Bacterial small subunit ribosomal RNA", at positions 521 to 896 of the family's 1533-position model. The record is from RNAcentral.